GAACCAUUCUGUCACUCAGUGCGUGGCAUUGGGGGUGAUGAAUGGUACGAACAGGGCCAGCUAAACUCACAAAGGAAGAAGUAAACAUGUCUCUUCUCUCUUAACUCCCACAUCCCACCUCACGCGCAGCAGAUUCAUCUCAGCUCCCACAUCCAUAUACUUCAGAUCCCUCUCAGCUCCCACAUCCAGGUGCUUCAGAUCCCUCUCAGCUCCCACAUCCAGGUGCUUCAGCUCCCACAUCCAGGUGCUUCAGCUCCCUCUCAGCUCCCACAUCCAGGUGCUUCAGCUCCCACAUCCAGGUGCUUCAGCUCCCUCUCAGCUCCCA
Oncorhynchus tshawytscha (Chinook salmon) is the source of this 325-nucleotide long non-coding RNA. Lineage: Eukaryota; Metazoa; Chordata; Actinopteri; Salmoniformes; Salmonidae. The record is from Ensembl.